Molecule: ribosomal RNA, 253 nt
Filed under: uncultured bacterium
Lineage: Bacteria
Description: partial 16S ribosomal RNA
Rfam family: Bacterial small subunit ribosomal RNA
Source: RNAcentral
UACGGAGGGAGCUAGCGUUGUUCGGAAUUACUGGCCGUAAAGCGCGCGUAGGCGGCUUUGUAAGUUAGAGGUGAAAGCCCGGGGCUCAACCCCGGAAUUGCCUUUAAGACUGCAUCGCUUGAAUCCGGGAGAGGUGAGUGGAAUUCCGAGUGUAGAGGUGAAAUUCGUAGAUAUUCGGAAGAACACCAGUGGCGAAGGCGGCUCACUGGACCGGCAUUGACGCUGAGGUGCGAAAGCGUGGGGAGCAAACAGG